AUAUUGCAGUCUUACAAUGAUUAAGAAUUACUUUCUUUUUGCUGCCAUUUCGGUUUUGGGUUGGGGAAUCGGCCUAGACAAAUUGCUUUCUUUGGAGUUAUCUGGUAGGAUAUGUUUUUACAACUAUGCUCUAUGGAUCUUAAAUUUCACGAACUAGAAGCAUCACCACAUAAGCUUGUGGGAAUCUGAUCUCCAAGAGAUUUUGACAUGCUACUACCACUUUAAGUGGUCUGCUCGAUCAGAUCCUCUGUAAUAGGCAAUUGUAAUCUGAAAAUCAAACCUAUUAUUGUAUAUUUCUCAAUGCUUAGAAUUCCAUUACACAUCUAUUUAAUGUAUGUUGAAACCUCUUACCAUUUCAGCCAAGCGCUUCAGUACUGAUCUGACCCACAGAAAAUCAUC
Molecule: long non-coding RNA, 399 nt
Filed under: Olea europaea (common olive)
Lineage: Eukaryota; Viridiplantae; Streptophyta; Magnoliopsida; Lamiales; Oleaceae
Description: long non-coding RNA (OEUR_LNC000604)
Source: RNAcentral